UGAAACAACCUUGUAUUCGAAUACAGAGAUGCUGUAUUCGAAUACAACAAUAUUGUUUUGUUAAAAACUUCAUUUCUCAACCUUGUUUAUGCAUGUUUGGCAUAUGGAAACCCUUUUAAGGUGCAUGCUUAGUUGAAAGGUUAUUUUGAGCAUUUAAAAUCUUAAUUGCUAUGUGUUAACUGUUAUUUUUUUGGUUGGUGACCCUUUACAAUUAUUGUGGAAAUGUGGGCUUUGCCCUCAGAUGAGAGUCAGGACGGUCCUACCGGUUCGUGCCCUACGGACGGGAAUGGAGAUGGGAACGCUUGACUGCAGCUACGUUAGGAGGAUCUCACGGGGCGCGUGGAGAUCACUCAGGGUGUUUAGUUGUUUUGUAAAAUGAUCAAACUAGGUUGUCACAGAGGGAACGGAUGUCUUUCUUUUGGGGUUGUGUUUAUUUUUAACCGGAAGACUGUACUGUUACUAUUAUUGUCAGUACGACACCUUAGUUGAAUGGGUUCCUUGUAUCUUCUGGUUGUUGUUUAAAUACUUUGGAUGUAUGUAUUUGAGAAACUUUUUCCGCUGCUUGUAAAUUUUAAUGACUCAAUUAUUUAUCC
This 593-nucleotide long non-coding RNA is filed under the name Cicer arietinum (chickpea). RNAcentral's name for it is "long non-coding RNA (CARI_LNC000255)". Lineage: Eukaryota; Viridiplantae; Streptophyta; Magnoliopsida; Fabales; Fabaceae. The record is from RNAcentral.